Molecule: small RNA, 40 nt
Filed under: Plasmodium falciparum 3D7
Lineage: Eukaryota; Apicomplexa; Aconoidasida; Haemosporida; Plasmodiidae
Description: Pfa-npcR6901
Source: RNAcentral
UUUUGAAUGAAUAAUGUAGAUAAUAAAACUGUUUACUAAA